GGAGGAAAGCAGGGGAUCGAAAGACCUUGUGCUUUUAGAGCGGCCGAUGCCUGAUUAGCUAGUUGGUAAGGUAAAGGCUUACCAAGGCAACGAUCAGUAGCUGGUCUGAGAGGACGACCAGCCACACUGGGACUGAGACACGGCCCAGACUCCUACGGGAGGCAGCAGUGGGGAAUUUUGGACAAUGGGCGCAAGCCUGAUCCAGCCAUGCCGCGUGAGUGAAGAAGGGCUUCGGGUUGUAAAGCUCUUUCGGUCGGGAAGAAAUAGUUGUGGCUAAUAUCCAUAACGAAUGACGGUACCGACAUAAGAAGCACCGGCUAACUACGUGCCAGCAGCCGCGGUAAGACGUAGGGCGCAAGCGUUAGUCGGAAUUAUUGGGCGUAAAGGGUGCGCAGGCGGAUGUAUAAGUCAGAUGAGGGAUCCCCGGGCUUAACCUGGGAAUUGCGUUGCUUUCAUCGGGGCUAGAAGGGC
This 471-nucleotide ribosomal RNA is filed under the name uncultured beta proteobacterium. Its description in RNAcentral is "bacterial SSU rRNA". It matches the Rfam family "Bacterial small subunit ribosomal RNA", at positions 198 to 655 of the family's 1533-position model. The record is from RNAcentral. Lineage: Bacteria; Pseudomonadati; Pseudomonadota; Betaproteobacteria.